This 810-nucleotide ribosomal RNA is filed under the name uncultured bacterium. RNAcentral's name for it is "bacterial SSU rRNA". It matches the Rfam family "Bacterial small subunit ribosomal RNA", at positions 1 to 823 of the family's 1533-position model. The record is from RNAcentral.
AAUUCGCCCUUAGAGUUUGAUCCUGGCUCAGGACGAACGCUGGCGGCGUGCCUAACACAUGCAAGUCGAACGGACGAGAGGAGCUUGCUCCUCAAGUUAGUGGCGAACGGGUGAGUAACGCGUGAGCAACCUGCCUUUCAGAGGGGGACAACGGUUGGAAACGACCGCUAAUACCGCAUGAAGCAGUUGGAUCGCAUGAUCUGACUGCCAAAGAUUUAUCGCUGAAAGAUGGGCUCGCGUCUGAUUAGAUAGUUGGUGAGGUAACGGCCCACCAAGCCGACGAUCAGUAGCCGGUCUGAGAGGAUGAACGGCCACAUUGGGACUGAGACACGGCCCAGACUCCUACGGGAGGCAGCAGUGGGGGAUAUUGCGCAAUGGGGGAAACCCUGACGCAGCAAUGCCGCGUGGAGGAUUGAAGGUCUUCGGAUUGUAAACUCCUUUUGUCAGGGAAGAUAAUGACGGUACCUGACGAAUAAGCUCCGGCUAACUACGUGCCAGCAGCCGCGGUAAUACGUAGGGAGCAAGCGUUGUCCGGAUUUACUGGGUGUAAAGGGUGCGUAGGCGGCUUUGCAAGUCAGCUGUGAAAUCUGUGGGCUCAACCCACAAAUUGCAGUUGAAACUGUAGAGCUUGAGUGAAGUAGAGGUAGGCGGAAUUCCCAGUGUAGCGGUGAAAUGCGUAGAUAUCACGAAGAACCCCGAUUGCGAAGGCAGCGUACCAGGCCGUAACUGACGCUAAUGCUCGAAGGUGCGGGUAUCGAACAGGAUUAGAUACCCUGGUAGUCCGCACGGUAAACGAUGGAUGCCCGCUGU